RNAcentral lists this ribosomal RNA (429 nucleotides) under Actinomycetes bacterium. Its description in RNAcentral is "Actinobacteria bacterium partial 16S ribosomal RNA". It matches the Rfam family "Bacterial small subunit ribosomal RNA", at positions 355 to 776 of the family's 1533-position model. Lineage: Bacteria; Bacillati; Actinomycetota; Actinomycetes. The record is from RNAcentral.
UAGGGAAUCUUCCGCAAUGGGCGAAAGCUUGACGGAGCAACGCCGCGUGAGUGAUGAAGGUCUUCGGAUCGUAAAACUCUGUUAUUAGGGAAGAACAAAUGUGUAAGUAACUAUGCACGUCUUGACGGUACCUAAUCAGAAAGCCACGGCUAACUACGUGCCAGCAGCCGCGGUAAUACGUAGGUGGCAAGCGUUAUCCGGAAUUAUUGGGCGUAAAGCGCGCGUAGGCGGUUUUUUAAGACUGAUGUGAAAGCCCACGGCUCAACCGUGGAGGGUCAUUGGAAACUGGAAAACUUGAGUGCAGAAGAGGAAAGUGGAAUUCCAUGUGUAGCGGUGAAAUGCGCAGAGAUAUGGAGGAACACCAGUGGCGAAGGCGACUUUCUGGUCUGUAACUGACGCUGAUGUGCGAAAGCGUGGGGAUCAAACAGG